GACGAACGCUGGCGGCGUGCUUAACACAUGCAAGUCGUACGGUAAGGCCCUUUCGGGGGUACACGAGUGGCGAACGGGUGCGUAACACGUGAGUAACCUGCCCACAACUUUGGGAUAACGCUAGGAAACUGGUGCUAAUACUGGAUAUGUGCUCCUGCUGCAUGGUGGUGGUUGGAAAGCUCCGGCGGUUGUGGAUGGACUCGCGGCCUAUCAGCUUGUUGGUGGGGUAGUGGCCUACCAAGGCGGCGACGGGUAGCCGGCCUGAGAGGGUGACCGGCCACAUUGGGACUGAGAUACGGCCCAGACUCCUACGGGAGGCAGCAGUGGGGAAUAUUGCACAAUGGGCGCAAGCCUGAUGCAGCAACGCCGCGUGCGGGAUGACGGCCUUCGGGUUGUAAACCGCUUUCAGCAGGGACGAAGCUUUUUGUGACGGUACCUGCAGAAGAAGCACCGGCUAACUACGUG
This 465-nucleotide ribosomal RNA is filed under the name uncultured bacterium. RNAcentral describes it as "partial 16S ribosomal RNA". It matches the Rfam family "Bacterial small subunit ribosomal RNA", at positions 28 to 507 of the family's 1533-position model. The record is from RNAcentral.